This is a long non-coding RNA of Lycium barbarum (goji berry), 538 nucleotides long. RefSeq lists it as uncharacterized. The record is from RefSeq and is a predicted model, not a curated record. NCBI's taxonomy places the organism in Eukaryota, Viridiplantae, Streptophyta, Magnoliopsida, Solanales, Solanaceae. The transcript is spliced from 2 exons.
CUCGUGGAAACCCCCAUUCCUUCUCUUCCAAAUCAGAAUUUGUCUAAGAGCCCUAAUCUCCAAUACCGCCUACAUCUUGGUCAUGCGAAAUCGGGUGAUCAGUCUACCUCUCGAUUCUUGUAUGUGAUAUAAUUACAUUAUGAAACUGGACAACACCGAGGGUUUCAAAUUGGUCAUCAACAAAAUGCCCAUGUCUCUGACACCACAAGUAACAAUUCACUUUUCCAGUUGCUACUCUUUUUGUGGAAGAUUAUGUUAAAAAAUUGCAAAGUGAGGUGUUCAAGUCAUGCCAUAUGGAUUCUGUUAAGAGAAAUCAUCACCGGAAUCUGCUGGACAGUAAGUUAUCUAAAUCUUUGAAAUAAUAUGUGGUUGAUUUAUAUUUGCUAAGUUUAAAAAUGUAUUAGACAUUUGGGUUUGUCUUCUAAGGGCUUGUUGUUAACAAUCCGAGCUACGCUAUGCUAGUGUCGAUAUAUCUUAAUCCUCUGUAAUCCUAGCUCAUUUUCUAUUAAGAAAUAUUGUAUCUCAUUUUUAUUUUGUU